This 253-nucleotide ribosomal RNA is filed under the name uncultured bacterium. RNAcentral's name for it is "partial 16S ribosomal RNA". It matches the Rfam family "Bacterial small subunit ribosomal RNA", at positions 524 to 776 of the family's 1533-position model. The record is from RNAcentral.
UACGUAGGGUGCAAGCGUUAAUCGGAAUUACUGGGCGUAAAGCGUGCGCAGGCGGUUAUGUAAGACAGGUGUGAAAUCCCCGGGCUUAACCUGGGAACUGCAUUUGUGACUGCAUAGCUAGAGUAUGGUAGAGGGGGAUGGAAUUCCGCGUGUAGCAGUGAAAUGCGUAGAUAUGCGGAGGAACACCGAUGGCGAAGGCAAUCCCCUGGACCUGUACUGACGCUCAUGCACGAAAGCGUGGGGAGCAAACAGG